GGCUCCAUAGCUCAGUGGAUAAAGCGCUAGUCUACGAAACCAGAAGUUGCGAGUUUGAUCCUUGCUGGAGCCU
RNAcentral lists this transfer RNA (73 nucleotides) under Astyanax mexicanus (Mexican tetra). It matches the Rfam family "tRNA". Rfam says of the family: Transfer RNA (tRNA) molecules are approximately 80 nucleotides in length. Their secondary structure includes four short double-helical elements and three loops (D, anti-codon, and T loops). Further hydrogen bonds mediate the characteristic L-shaped molecular structure. tRNAs have two regions of fundamental functional importance: the anti-codon, which is responsible for specific mRNA codon recognition, and the 3' end, to which the tRNAs corresponding amino acid is attached (by aminoacyl-tRNA synthetases). tRNAs cope with the degeneracy of the genetic code in two manners: having more than one tRNA (with a specific anti-codon) for a particular amino acid; and 'wobble' base-pairing, i.e. permitting non-standard base-pairing at the 3rd anti-codon position. The record is from Rfam by way of RNAcentral. Lineage: Eukaryota; Metazoa; Chordata; Actinopteri; Characiformes; Acestrorhamphidae.